AGCAGCCGCGGUAAUUCCAGCUCCAAUAGCGUAUAUUAAAGUUGUUGCAGUUAAAAAGCUCGUAGUUGAAUUUCGAGAUCAGUACGCUUGUCGUGCCUUCGGUAUGCACUGGUGUCACUGGUUUCUCCCUUCUGAAGAACCGUUAUGUCAUUAAGUUGGUGUGGCGGGGAAUCAGGACUGUUACUUUGAAAAAAUUAGAGUGUUUAAAGCAGGCUCGCGCUUGAAUACAUUAGCAUGGAAUAAUGAAAUAGGACGUUUGACCCUAUUUUGUUGGUUUCUAGGAUCGACGUAAUGAUUAAUAGGGAUAGUUGGGGGCAUUAGUAUUCAAUUGUCAGAGGUGAAAUUCUUGGAUUUAUUGAAGACUAACUACUGCGAAAGCAUUUGCCAAGGAUGUUUUCAUUAAUCAAGAACGAAAGUUAGGGGAUCGAAGACGAUCAGAUACCGUCGUAGUCUUAACCAUAAACUAUGCCG
This 471-nucleotide ribosomal RNA is filed under the name uncultured Glomus. RNAcentral's name for it is "SSU rRNA". It matches the Rfam family "Eukaryotic small subunit ribosomal RNA", at positions 569 to 1044 of the family's 1831-position model. Lineage: Eukaryota; Fungi; Glomeromycota; Glomeromycetes; Glomerales; Glomeraceae. The record is from RNAcentral.